This 459-nucleotide ribosomal RNA is filed under the name uncultured bacterium. Its description in RNAcentral is "partial 16S ribosomal RNA". It matches the Rfam family "Bacterial small subunit ribosomal RNA", at positions 338 to 795 of the family's 1533-position model. The record is from RNAcentral.
CCUACGGUGGGCAGCAGUGAGGAAUAUUGGUCAAUGGCCGGAAGGCUGAACCAGCCAAGCCGCGUGAAGGACGAAGGUGCCAAGCAUUGUAAACUUCUUUUGUCAAGGGACAAAAUCAGGCUCGAGAGCCUGACCGAGGGUACUUGAAGAAAAAGCAUCGGCUAACUCCGUGCCAGCAGCCGCGGUAAUACGGAGGAUGCGAGCGGUAUCCGGAUUUAUUGGGUUUAAAGGGUGCGUAGGCGGACGGUUAAGUCAGCGGUAAAAGCCCGGGGCUAAACCCCGGCGAGCCGUUGAAACUGGUUUGCUUGAGUGAGUGAGAAGUAUGCGGAAUGCGUGGUGUAGCGGUGAAAUGCAUAGAUAUCACGCAGAACUCCGAUUGCGAAGGCAGCAUACCGGCGCUCAACUGACGCUCAUGCACGAAAGUGUGGGUAUCGAACAGGAUUAGAUACCCGGGUAGUC